UGCUUCAUUGGCUUAUCAAUUUCAUUGUAGUUGUGACACACCAAGUCUGGCUUCCAGACAAUGGCCAAACAUGGGCUAAAUCUGGCCCAGUUCAGGCCCAGUUAUGGGUUAUUAGCUUGGCUGAGACAUGGCGUGGAUAUGGUCCAUGCUUGGCGCUUGUCUGAAAGCCAAACGUUGUCCAGUCGAAAUUCACUGCGGCAUUUGGGCCAAGCAAAAGCGGAUUGUGUGGGCCAGAGCUCGGCCAGGGAAAAUUUGCUAUGUGGGUAUGAGUAUAUAAAAAUGAUGCAAUGAAAAACACCUGUUAACUAAAGAAUAAGCAUAUGUAGACAAUGUAACUCUUAAUAAAAAAAAUACAGAUUUUAAAAAUAAAUGAAAACUGAUUCAACGUAAAUGUUAAAACCGCUUGCCAUAGCCUCGAAGCCCAUCAUCAGACUGUAGCCUAUACAGUGAGUAUUGCGUUUUUAUAAGGCUAGCAUAAAAAUAUUAAAGAUAUGCCUUAAUAAAACUGUCAUAUCAACGUUGUAAAUACAUUCCUUCAAUGACUCUUCGUGUUACUUUUCGCAUGGUAAAUAAAACGACAGAACUCUUUUCGCAAUUGUUCGGACAGAUUUUGUGAAUCGGCUCAGAUCAUUCAUUUUAAAGGAUCCUCCUCCUCUUCAUCGCGGGAAUUUUUUAUUGGAAAAUCCCAGUUGCUUUAAAGGUAAUGCGCUUUGAAAAAGCAGAAGUACAUCCACGGAAACCCAUUAUCCCCAACAUUGCACGACGGUUAGCACACCUCCUGAACAAUCCCGCACAGAAUCAUGUCUGGAGUCGAACAGGUCUACUUCAUCGGAACCGCAGUUUCUCUUCUGGUGGCUCUGUUUGGUCUGGCUAGUUCAGUAGGGGGUCUGAUGUAUCCUCAAGGAUCAUGUCUGGCAGACGACAACUGGACCGUGUGGACUGUUUCACUGACGGAAGCUGCUGCCAACGCCAAGCGCUUUGGAUCCAAAUGAACUGGAGCAGUGAUGUGAUCAAUUGCACUAGGAGAAAUAAUCGGUGUAUUAAGACUACUGAAGACUAAUAUGAAACUGUUUCCUCCAUUACACUGUGUGAGCUGUGUUUUGUUGAGUCAUGUGAAAUAUGAGACAGUAUGAAGAACAAUGAUGGUGCAGUGCUAAUAGUCCUUUCUUUUUUCUUUUGUUGUUCUGGUUUCUGGGUAGAAACUGUAACACACUGGACUGCUGUAAAAUUAUCAUGUACUGCUUGUAUGAAUGCUUUGUCAUUGAUUUUACAAACUUUGUAGCUAUUCUGACACUGUAUUCAUGGAGAAACCGCAUUGAAAAAAUCUACACAAUUUUACAUAUGGUUACAAAGGGAACUAAUGGAUUGAAGUUAGUAGUAUGAUAUGUAAAUGGAUAUAAAAAUGGCAUUCAAAUAUCUUAAAUGCAUCCCAUAUGAAAAUAUGAUUUGGAAAAAUAUUUUUUUUAUCAUAUAUUUACAUAUUUGUAUUGGUUAAAUAUAUGUAAAUGUCCCUUUUUAAAAAUAUUUAUGUAAAUAUUUGACUUUUUGGGUUUGUAAAAUCCAAACAUGACCUUGUCAUAUAUAUGAUUUGCAUAUAUUGAUAUCAGAUUAUUUGUACAUUAUUUUUGGAUUAUCAAAGUAAUAUAAUAAUACAGUAAAAUGGCCAGAAACAAUAGUAAAAAAGCCAGAUUAGUAAUGGAAUUGGUAAAUUUCACAAAUCUGAAGUAAAAAGGAAAGUAAAAUGUUUGACGUACACUUCCCUAAAGUUUUUGUUGUUGUUUUUCAGAAUCCGCUCCAAUAUUUUGUUUACAUAUUAAAUAUAAUAUACAUUUUUACUGUGCCAUUAGAAAACAAAUGUUUUUAAUUAUUUUUUAACAACCUUAUUUUGUACUUUUUUAUGUAAAUGGAGUACUGACAGAUAUGUAGGACAACUAUACAAAACUGCUGUUACUAAAACUCUAAUUUAUAUUGUGGAAUAAAAACAUGUAUACAGUA
This is a long non-coding RNA of Danio aesculapii, 1995 nucleotides long. RefSeq lists it as uncharacterized. The record is from RefSeq and is a predicted model, not a curated record. The transcript has 2 exons. NCBI's taxonomy places the organism in Eukaryota, Metazoa, Chordata, Actinopteri, Cypriniformes, Danionidae.